RNAcentral lists this ribosomal RNA (450 nucleotides) under uncultured bacterium. RNAcentral describes it as "partial 16S ribosomal RNA". It matches the Rfam family "Bacterial small subunit ribosomal RNA", at positions 354 to 796 of the family's 1533-position model. The record is from RNAcentral.
GUGGGGAAUCUUCCGCAAUGGACGAAAGUCUGACGGAGCAACGCCGCGUGAGUGAAGAAGGUUUUCGGAUCGUAAAGCUCUUUCGUUAGGGACGAACGUGCUCUUUGUGAAUAAUGAGGAGUAAUGACGGUACCUAAAUAAGAAGCCACGGCUAACUACGUGCCAGCAGCCGCGGUAAUACGUAGGUGGCAAGCGUUGCCCGGAAUUAUUGGGCGUAAAGCGCGCGCAGGCGGGAUAUCAAGUCUGUCUUAAAAGUGCGAGGCUCAACCUCGUGAGGGGACAGAAACUGGUAUUCUUGAGUGUCGGAGAGGAAAGUGGAAUUCCAAGUGUAGCGGUGAAAUGCGUAGAGAUUUGGAAGAACACCAGUGGCGAAGGCGACUUUCUGGACGAUGUCUGACGCUGAGGCGCGAAAGCUAGGGGAGCGAACGGGAUUAGAUACCCUGGUAGUCC